Molecule: microRNA, 23 nt
Filed under: Pristionchus pacificus
Lineage: Eukaryota; Metazoa; Nematoda; Chromadorea; Rhabditida; Neodiplogasteridae
Description: ppc-miR-8364k-5p
Source: miRBase by way of RNAcentral
UCUUUAUUUCCCAUACUCUCUCA